RNAcentral lists this long non-coding RNA (972 nucleotides) under Anas platyrhynchos platyrhynchos (common mallard). RNAcentral describes it as "lncRNA (ENSAPLG00000027858.1)". Lineage: Eukaryota; Metazoa; Chordata; Aves; Anseriformes; Anatidae. The record is from RNAcentral.
GAAAGGUGACCUGCGUCACAUGGUGACACGAGGAUGUUGGAUAAUAUUACACAAGUGCUGCACCUCAGCUGCUCCCACUGACAUCUAUGGGACUUUAUGGGAUCAUCAGCAAGUCAAGCGCUAUAUUCUGUAAGUGUUUAUGUUUCAGAGAGGUGUUGUAGGAAAAAUACUCAGGCUGUACUGAAAGAAACAGGAAUUUUAAUGUUUAGUUCAAAAUGACCUGUUCCAAAGUUCAUCUCAUAUUUUCUUUGCUGUUUGCCUCCUCAAUUUGUUAGUGCUCAGUAGAAUAUAGAAACAACAGAUCUGUUCUUUCUUCUACAUUUCUUGCAAUUACGCUGAUUUAAAUUCUGCAAUAAAGCAGUUGGAGGUGGAACAUUCCAGAAGGAUUCUGCAAAUUCUAGCAGGAUUUUUUAAAGGCAGAAAUGCAAAUCAGUAUCCAAAAAUAAAUUUAGAUUAAAAAUUACCUUCCUGUGUUGUUUCUAGGACAUGUAAAAUUACUCUGACACCAGCAGAGAAGCCCAUUAAAUACAUGACUGGUCAUGUAUAAAUGAACCUCUUUGCUUGGGCAGGGAAGACAAUGACAGGGAAGAUGACCCUUAUUAAAGUUGGCACAAAUAGCAGAAAAAAAGCCAGAAAACAAAGAAGAUGUAUAGAAGAUAUACGGAAUUCCAGUGAAUUGUAUUUUGGUGUCAGAUUGGUGUAUGCUGUUGAAAGUUUGCAUAGCCUUCCAGAAAGAACUACUCUUCUUAAGCAGCAGGUAAGGAAAAUAACUUGGGUAAAAGAUUUGGGGAGGAACAGGAAAGGACAUUUAAUAUAUUUAAUCUUAUUAUACAUUUUUCUACAUUAAAGUCAACAGGCUGCAAAUAUAUUCUGCUACAAAGCUUUUUGUAAGAAAUAUCUCUAUAAGAAAAUACAUCUCAUUAAACAUUUCCUGUAAAUAAAUUAUCCCAAAUAACUACGGUUUGUAAGAGG